UACGUAGGGCGCAAGCGUUGUCCGGAAUUAUUGGGCGUAAAGAGCUCGUAGGCGGUCUGUCGCGUCGGCUGUGAAAACCCGAGGCUCAACCUCGGGCCUGCAGUCGAUACGGGCAGACUAGAGUGCUGUAGGGGAGACUGGAAUUCCUGGUGUAGCGGUGAAAUGCGCAGAUAUCAGGAGGAACACCGGUGGCGAAGGCGGGUCUCUGGGCCAUUACUGACGCUGAGGAGCGAAAGCGUGGGGAGCGAACAGG
This 253-nucleotide ribosomal RNA is filed under the name uncultured bacterium. RNAcentral describes it as "partial 16S ribosomal RNA". It matches the Rfam family "Bacterial small subunit ribosomal RNA", at positions 524 to 776 of the family's 1533-position model. The record is from RNAcentral.